This 356-nucleotide unclassified non-coding RNA is filed under the name soil metagenome. Its description in RNAcentral is "partial contains 5.8S ribosomal RNA, internal transcribed spacer 2, and large subunit ribosomal RNA". The stretch from base 1 to 120 matches the Rfam family "5.8S ribosomal RNA", at positions 35 to 154 of the family's 154-position model. The record is from RNAcentral.
GAUGAAGAACGUAGCGAAAUGCGAUAAGUAAUGUGAAUUGCAGAAUUCAGUGAAUCAUCGAAUCUUUGAACGCACAUUGCGCCCGUCAGUAUUCUGGCGGGCAUGCCUGUUCGAGCGUCAUUACGCCCCUCAAGUCCCCUGUGGACUUGGUGUUGGGGAUCGGCGAGGCUGGUUUUCCAGCACAGCCGUCCCUUAAAUUAAUUGGCGGUCUCGCCGUGGCCCUCCUCUGCGCAGUAGUAAAACACUCGCAACAGGAGCCCGGCGCGGUCCACUGCCGUAAAACCCCCCAACUUUUUAUAGUUGACCUCGAAUCAGGUAGGACUACCCGCUGAACUUAAGCAUAUCAAUAGCGGAGA